RNAcentral lists this long non-coding RNA (33544 nucleotides) under Brachypodium distachyon (stiff brome). RNAcentral describes it as "long non-coding RNA (BDIS_LNC002185)". The record is from RNAcentral. Lineage: Eukaryota; Viridiplantae; Streptophyta; Magnoliopsida; Poales; Poaceae.
UGCUCUUUCCUAGCAAACCUAGGCUAAUAGAUAUAGAAAUGGGCAUUCGUGAAUAAAAGCAAUAUAGGAUAUUAAUUCAGGCGGUAGCCUACCCAUAAAAUGCCACUAUGCAGCAAAUGUUCGUGUAUAGUAUCCUAGCUACAACCCUUUGUUAAUAAAGUUGGCCACUUUCCUUUGGGGGGUUAGUAAGCAACCUAGACAUGCAAGAGCAAGAAAUGACCCCUGCAGCAGCUAAUUGCCUCCUUUGGAUCUAGCUAGUGAAGCGGACAUAUAUAUAGUACAGUAGUCCUGAAAUAAUUAAGAAAUUGAUCAUGCAUAUGACUCUGAACUAUUUGACAGUGACCACUUGUGAUUUACGUUCUACGGGCACUUAAAACUCAGUUGGUUACAUGCAAUCAAAACAAUUUCAGGUGUGUCGUCACACGCAAACAUAUAAGAACUAUACAUGAUUUAGGAAACAUUAUCUGUAUUAAGUAGACUUAAUUAAUUAUCAUCUCUUGUGAUACAUGUGCAUGCAUUUCAUCUCAUUUAAAAAAGAUACAUAAAAUUCUUUCUAAUUUAUAUUGUGUUAACUACUACUCUCUCCGUCCGACUUAAAUUUUUUCCCAAAUAUGGAUGUAUCUAUGCCCAAAAACCGUUUAGAUACGUGUAAUAGAAAUUCACUUAAUAUGGGACGAAGUGAGUAUAAAGAUUUCUUUAUUUUCAUUUAUGGAUAACCAAUCCAUUUUCCAACAUAGUUUGGAGAUUUUACCCAAGAAAUGGGUACAUAAAAUGAAAAGAUCGGAACAUGGGAAUAGAUCUUUAAUUAUACUAAUACUGACUACCCAUUUCCUUUGUUGUGAUUUCUAAAAUGGCAUACCUAUACAAGGGUUCAAGUUUCGAUCUAUAUUUGCGGAGUGGAUCAUCCCUCUCGAAAACGCAGAUUUGAAGUUGUCCAUAAUUUACUGAGUACUCGGUAUUAGUUUGCUCCAAUUAGAAAUAGUGUUAAUAUGCCGAUAUGAUACAACACAAUUCCCAUCAAAUACUAUUUGAUUGAAGUUGGAGCUUUCUCCUUGCAUUGAUUCAUUCCAUCCGAAGCAAACAGAGCAACGACCGAGAAACUAACUAAUUAAACAGCAAGAAUUAAAACAUGGAGAGAUUGAACAAACACACUGAUACAUAUGUGAAGGAAGGAAAAGAGAGCGGACAAAGACACCUAAUUAUAACCUCAAAAAAAAGACACCUAAUUAAGCAGGAGUAGUAGCUAGAACUAGAAAGCCGGCGGUGGCGGCCGGAAGGAAGCAAAGACAUCAUGCUGCGGCAUCUGACCGUUUGGGAUCAGGUUGGGCGGCAGGCUGCUGUAGAAUGGCAUAGACGCGGAGUCAGGUGGCAGCCCGCCACCCAUCACGGCGCCAUUUCCUCCCGCACCCGGAGGCGGCGGUCCUUCCGGCAACUGCUGCAUCCCAUCGGACCCAGUGGGCACCGCGUCACCUGUAGCUGCUGCCAGCUCUUCAUCGACCAGCGGGAGGCGCUCGUAGGUGGCGUUGGAGAAAGUGGCCGCGACGACCAUGAUGGGGCCCGAGGCCACGAGCUCCCCCACGACCGUGCCCCCGACGACCUGGCCCUGCCCGCCCGCGAGGUACACGGCGAGCCCCGUGGCUCCCGGAGGGCACGGGGACGGGAGGAAGGCCCCGGAGAGGGACAGGAUCUCGAAGCGGCCGUGGAGCGUGACGACGGCCCCAGGCGGCGCCGCGGGCUGGCGCAGCGUGACGUUGCCGACGACGCCGCUGCCGGACAGCACGGAGACCCCCCGCUGCCGCCGGCGCGCGAACGUGGCCACGGCGUCCAUGAUGUCGGCCCCGCUGGCGAUCUCCAGCACGUGCGACCGCAGCGUGUUGGGGCUCUCCCUGGUGAUGAUGAUGGGCGGCUUGGGCUUGUUCUUGGAUCCCGGCGGCCUCCCUCGCGGCCUCCUCCCCGAAGACGAACCCCCUCCGCCGCCGCUGCCGCCAGAGGUGGCGUUUGGGGUGGGAGAGGUUUCGCCGGCGCCGGCAGAGGGGGAAUCUUGGCCCUGGGCGCCGGCGCCGGAAGAUUCGUCGUGGUGGUUGUUGUUGCUACCGCUGCUGUUUGGUGUCGUUGGGGCUUGCUCUGCCAUGACGCCGCUCCCGCCGAACUGCUGCGCCAGGUGGUUGCCGAGGUCCAGGCCGUGGCCGCCCAUGCCCCCUGCCCACCACGCCAUCUCCUAACCUUCCGACCUCGAUCACGCACGCACCUAUGGCUUUGCUUGUCCACCAGCGUACAGAGUGGAGUGCGUGAGGAAGAGAGUACUAGGGAGGGACGGAGGUAGGGGAUCUUUUCUCUCGGUUCCUUUCACUGUCUAUCUCGCGGCUGCUUUUGGGGCUCUUUUUUCUCCGUAGGCUGGGCAGGGAGCCGCACCUGCCCCUGAUGGCCUGAUGCCUGACUAUAGUUGCUAGGAGUAGUACUGGUGCAAGUACUAGUAUUUGGCUCUCUUCUCUUUUCUGGUUUGCCUUUUAUUUUCCUGCGCUUGUUCGUUUUGCAUGCCCUUUUAUGUUGCUCACUUUGCGUUAGGGAUGAUCUAACAAAGCAAUAGCACUAGUAGUACUAGAUUCUCCUCUCCUCUCCUCCAUUGUUGCUUGGAACCUUGGAGUAUUGCUAAGCUCAUGAAGUGGGGAACAGCGAAUUCACGAUCGAUCCAAUCUGCUGGUUGGGGGCAGAUCAGAUCAAUCGAUUGGUUGAUCAUCGGCACGCACAGGGUCUAGCUGAGGCAGCCUAGCUAGCUCCUUUUGUGGUUGUAAAUGAAACUGAACAAUUAAGGACGAGUAAAUUGGGCAAGAAAGGCCGGAGCGGGGAAGUCAGCUUAUAGCUAGGCGAUCGAGCCUCACAUGCAUAUAGAGGGCAAUUAAUUACUGCGGCUAAGGAACCUUGUCACAUCUCUAUCGUGCUACAUCUGCAGAUUGCGCGCGGUGCCAGUCGUAAUAAUUGAACUAAAUAAAUCAACCAGCUGGUUCUCAUGUUGACAAGGAAAGCUCACAAUAAUAAAGCUACGCUAAUCAGAAAAGUCAAGCCACGAACAAACAACAACAACACUUGCCCAUUGACAGUAGCAACAACAUGUGUAGCAGUAGUGGGAGACAAAUAAAUUUAGUACCAUGCACGGGUGCAUUGUAGGUUUGGUGGAUCUUGGCGCCUGGCCUUUCCCUGUCUGUCGUACAUGCAAAGGUAGUAGGAGUACUUGGUUCACGAAGCAAACAUUUCCAUCCCAUUUUAGGGCCUGUUUAGAACAAAUGAAAACUGUAGGAAUCUUGAAGGUUUGGUUUUGCUGCAUGUGAAACAAAAAACUUUAGAGUUCGGUUUAUUUGCAAAAAAAAGAAGAUUAUUUUUACAGUAUUUUUAAUCUUAGAAUUUUUUUUGGUAUGGGUAACAUUCAUUUUACAGGAAUAGACAUCCUAGAUUCAGGCCUCAGUCGGGUUAAAGGAUUUUGAGUGGAUUUUCAUACUCCCUCCGAUCCAUAUUAGUUGUCGAAAUAUUACAUAUAUCUAGGCGCUUUUUAAUCAUAGAUACAUUCAUAUUUGGAUAAAUUUGAGACAAUUAAUAUGGAUCUAAGGGAAUAGUAAAUCCAAUGGAUCGAGAAUUCGAUAGGAAAAUCACUAUAGAGACAUUCGUUUGUAAGAAACAAGCAAAGUGAGUCCGUAGGAAUCUCAUUGAUUUUCUCUGCUUUUAGACAAAACUGAACAUUAGGUUCAAUUUGUUUUUUUUUUCCGGAGGAAUGGGCUUGUACAAUUUCUUAGGAUGGCAAUUGUUACCCUAUCACAACCCUAUGUUUCUUCGUUUUUCUAUGUUUUAUUUUCCUCCGAAUCUAAUAAGCUCUCGUAAGGAAACGUCUAAAUUGAUUUUGACUCUUAAGGAUACUUAACAUUAGAUGAGAUCGAAUGAAAAUUUCCUAAGGAUUUAUAUGGGCAUGACAUGUCAAUUCCCUACUUUCCCUGUUCAUGUGACUUCAAAUCCUGUAAACCAAAUAAAUCAUAGCAGUAGAAAAGGUAGAGCAUUGGGAUGUCAUGACACUUCAAUUCUUAGGUCAAUUUGGACACAAUCCUUAAAUCUAUCAUCUCAGUUCCUAUGAAAGAAAUGCUACACAUAGAAAAACUUUCUUAGGUUUGAAAUCCUGUAAAAACCCUUUGUAAAUCUUACAAACUGAAUGAGCCCUUAGGGCUGUUUGGAACGAAGGAAACAACAAUACUCACUCCGAUCCAAAUUACAUGUCGCGGUUUUGUCUACAUAUGUGCGUAUCUAGAUGUCACGGGUUUGUCUAGAUACGCAUGUAUCUAAAUAUCUAGACUAUGUGUAUCUAGACAAAGCUGCAACAAAUAAUUUGGAUCGGAAGGAGUAUCAAUUUCUUUCGUGUUUGUUAUGCUUUUGAAAGGAAACAAAACAUUAAGCUAGACCCAAGGUUUCUUUUUUCCAUUUACUUUGUUUUCAAAAUAUGUAGGUUUUUUGGAACGGGGUGUAUAUUAAUUAACGAGUAGAGAGAGUACAAUCGGAAUCGACCUGGCUCAUCACGCAAGAAGGCACAGUGCCGAAUAACACACCACCACUCGACACACUAGCGGCAAACCUAGCAAUCUCAUGAGCAACCGAGUUACCCAAACGAGGAACAAAACCGAAGCGGAUACCUGGAUAAAAAGUAUUAUUGUGCUGUAGAACCGAAGCGGAUACCUGGACAAAAAGUAUUAUUGUGCUGUAGAAUAUCGACAAGAAUCGGUCGAAGGGAUUUGCCGAGGGGCAUUGCAAAGCUUUAAACCUUUCCAAGAUCAACGGAGCGGGGCAAUGAUCUUUCGACGCCUUUAAACCUUCGAGACAAGCUUCCGCCGUAACUUUGACCUGUGCUUUGGCAUGGAACAACUCCGACCUGAAAUUCGCUUCCAAUGGAAAUCGAAGCCAAGACCAAAAGGGUACUACUGGAGCCUGUAGCCUGUUCGCCUCAUAUUUUUAUUUCCACUCCUUUCAUGUCCUUUGUUCCCUGCGUUCCAAACACGUCCUCAACCGUUUAUCCCCUCUUGUUCAUCUCGGAGCAUCUCUCUCUUGUUGCGUGCUGUGUGAUGGAUACGAACAAGAGGGAUCGGAGACAGGGAGACAGAAACCGGCGUGGGACAUAGAAUCUCUUGUUGCGUGCCGUGUGAUGGAUACGAACAAGAGGGAUCGGAGACAGGGAGACAAAAACCGGCGUGGGACAUAGAAACUGUAACAGUGCUAGUACUGAAGUAGUACUAUUUUCCCCAUUCCUUUCUAGGGAAAGGGCGAGCCGGGGCGUGGGUGUGCAGCGGUGAUGCUGGCUAUAUCUUAUUGUUUCUUGCUCUCGGUGUUUGGGAGGAGCGUGUUGGCCGUAACGUGCGCACGGGGAAGUGGGGGCUGGGAUGGCAAGAGCAGAGCCACGCCAAUUUCCAUGGUUUUGACGAGCGCCAGGUGCGAGUAUGGAUGGCCAUGGCUAUCCGAAACCCGAUUACCCGAUGGGUCUAGACCCGAAUGGAUGCGGAUCUGAGAAAAACCCACGGGUUCGUAAAUGGAGAAAUUUCAGACCCGUCGGGUUUGGUGGGUCCAGGUCUGAUAGAGCCUUACCCGAACCUGAAAACCCGCAAACCCGGUUCGGAUUGAGUUACUGAACAUUUGGCCAAGCCCAAUGUAUUGCUAGGCCUUCGGGCCUUGGGCCGAUCCGAUCUAACUUGGGUCUUGCUUAUCGUUCAGUGGCAGAAUCUGUAGCACACAAGGGAAAUUGGAACGUUGUGUCUUUGAUCCUUUAGUACUACCUCGGCUAGGGAGGAAAGAAGAGAGCUCUACACGCCUAUAAAGACACCCAGUGGCUUCACAUUCAAUGAUGGUUAGCCGAGCUCUCUGCACAAUUGCAUUGCGCGGCUCAAACUAAUUGAACAAAUAUAAAUUAAUAUUGAAUAAAUAAAAUAAUACUAUAAUAAGUGAAAUAUUUUGUCGGGUCGGGUAUACCCGCGGGUCUACCCGCCCUGCAUCGGGGCCGGGUCUGGUAAUAUUUUGGACCCGGUACCGGGUCCGGGUUGCGCGUACCGAUUUGGUGGCCGGGUACGGGUCCGGUAUGGCCAUACCUGGACCCGUUGAUCCUGGGUGCCAUCCAUAGGUGCGAGGAAACAUGGUCGAGCGCGCCGGCUUCAUCAACCAAAGAUGGCCGAGUUGAUUUCGUGCGAACGUGUUUGCCGAAGGAACUUAUGGCUUUACACAUUGCCGGACUAUCGCUUGUACGCUUAUCGCUGCCCAAGUUGAUUUUGCGCUAACGUGUUUGUUAGGUUUAGUCGCACAAUAUAAAUUAUUAAGCGUGGGGGAGUACAAUUUGGCUCAGUUUUUUUUUUAAUCUUCUCCAACAAAUGCUCCCACUUAGCUUUCUGGAAAAGCUGAUACCUAAAUUUGGUUAGUCUUGCAAACUAAAUUAGUCCAAACUAAUUUGAAAGACUAACCAAAUUUGAAAAUCUUGACUUGAGAGCGUCGAAGCCCACAAAAAAACUGGACUAGGCCUCCACAAUGUGCCAAAUGCUAAAUUUGCCACCUCAUAUUAUUUAGCAGCGGUACUAAAAGUAUCAUUUCAACAUAGUGUAGUCAAAGCCUGUCGCACCAGUGGCACUCGGAGUACCACCGUUGCGCGACGCGUGGGCCCCGUCUCCGAGUUCCCGGGAGGACUUCGUCCCGGGCAGCAGUCAUGAGCAGCCCGGCAAGCUACCAGCCUGGAAGGGCUAGCGGGGCUUCGGGGAAUAUCGCCGCCUGGAUGCCUCCCGGGAAGCCACUUGCCGGGAGAGGGGUUGUCGGGCGUGUCGGGCCUGGGUGCCUCCCGGGAAGCCAGGAGGAGGGGUUCCCGGGCGCAGGCUCCCCCCGCGAGGGAGGGGGCCCAACGGGCAGAGCAACAGCGCCACGUGGGCGUGUGCCAGGCGUCGAGUGCGCAGUCUCGGCAGGGCCAGGAGUGAAGCGCACGGCGCAUUAAAUGAGCCAACAGGAGGGUCAUUACCCGUCCAAAUCAGGUGAACAAUGGCUGUCCAAUCCUAUCUUUAGGGUUUUAGACCCCUAGCAGCGGAGGUGGCGUCCAUGCACGCCACCAGCUCACCGAGGGGGAGUUGCAUGUCUCCCUGAUCGACACUUGUAAUAUAUGCGCCGCGGCACCUGUGGUAUCCCCUUCAGUAUAAAAGGAGGACCCCCGCCAACGGUCAAAGGGUUCGACGGUUCCACAUUUUUUCUACGGUUCGUCGAUCACGCGGCUGGACAGUUCCACAAUUUGACGGGUAGAUGGACUCACACUUAGCCAUUAGCAGUACCCUAAAGCAGUGAAGAGCACUUAGCCAAAAAGAGAACGCCCGGGGACCCUCCCCCCGGCAACGUGUAAACACUUGAUCUAUAGUCAAUACAAGUUCAGACAAGCAGGACGUAGGGUUUUACAUCUCCGGGUGGCCCGAACCUGGGUAAAAAACGUGUGUGCAUGUGUUCUUAGCUUGCAUGCAUCCUAAGUACAUUACUUUGCAGGUUACGUACGCCAUCGGCCAUGCCGGCGAUCGCCGGAGCGAUCCCCGACGCCCCUGCCGAACCUAAAAAGGGGGCGUGACCGCACGCCCCCGGUGUCGGAGCCCAGUGCGACGACAAAGCCAAAUUUCUCUAUCUAUGGGACCCACCAUUGUUAAAACUCAUAUAUAAAAUAUACUCUCUCUCCUGCCUCAUCUACUUUCAGCUAAUAGGGAAGAAAGUGCAUGGAUAAAUAUUGUUUUAUAUUGUUUGAGGAAUUUGGCACCAGGAGCAAGUAGGUGAUCUGGUUCUAUCUUUUCUUAAUUUGGCAACCCCUCCACACUGGUAUGAAGUGGUGCCAAAAGCUAAAUUUUUAGUUUGGUACCUCAAUUUGGCACACACUGUGGAGGCCCUUACAAGGUGGGAGCAAACCUCACUCAUUAGAUCAGUCUUUUAGAUGGAGUUAGGCUUGGCCUUGACAGUUGUGGCUGUGGGCUCUGUGUAUGACGAGUUGGGCAGGAAGUCGGCGGCGACACACAUACACCAACUGCCGAGCAAAACCACAUGGCAUACCAAUGAUUUGAUGAGUGUUUUUGGCGCACUCAGCAAAGUCGCCACCAUGUGUCUCGUUUACCGCAGUUGUCGACGCCACCAUUUGCCAAGUGCUUUUAUGAUGACAACGGAGUUGACGGUGUCGCUGUUUUCCCAAUCAUUUUACGAAAACACUCGCCAAACCUCUUCUCACUUGCUGAAUGCCUGGUGGCAGCUGCAGGAAACGUCACAGAAGAAGCUGAUAGGUGAUGGUUUUCAUCGGCCGUCACCCAUCUUCCAAAAUCAGUGACAGCCGACCGCUUGCCGUCACUCAUCUUCCUUGUUCGAUGACGGUAUCAGUUUUGCCAUCACUUAAUUUGACGAGGAACCGUGAUGUAUCAAAUGGGGGUUGAAUGAAUUAGAAUUGUUCUGCAAAAAAAGGUUGUAGCGAGGGUCAUACCCUUGACCUCCUGUUCGCCCAGUGUUCAAUUGUUGAAUGUUUUGCAUAACUGGCACCUUAUCUAUAAAAAUAAGAGGAAACAUAAAUGUGAAUCAAUUAAAUGUGUCUUAUUGUAUUCCGAACUAUUUCAUCAUCUUGCAGCAACACUGCGGGCGCUAGGUACAACAACAUACAGCGGCAAUACCACACGACGGUGUACUGUACGGCAAGGCUGACGGCCAGCGAUCGAGGAGCGACGGCUACACGCGGAUGUCACCAAGUUGACGCGCCGACACAAGCGCAUCAAGGGCGGCGAGGUGAGGGGCCUGACGACAUUGCGCAAGGUCAAAGACGCUUGGAGAGGCAACAACACGGCAUGGCGAAACACGUGGUUUUGGUUUGUUGGUAUUUUAUUUGGAUUCGGCAUAUUAAAAUAUGCAACGCUGAAUAUUCUUGAUAAUGGUGCAUCUCGUUUGCAUUCCAUUUUGAAUUUUAUGGAUUUUCACCUUUUAUUUUAUUUAUUUAUUUUGAGGGAAAGUUUCACCUUUUAUCUUUUUUUUAGCGAAUUUCACCUUUUAUCUAGAAGGAAAAACCUUUUUCUUCCUUUUCUUGAGCCGAAAGCCUGCUUCUUUUUUUCUUUCAUUUUUCCCCUUGGGCCGUACGUCCCCUUGCCUGGCUCCUUUCCUAUAUAUCGUGGGCGGAAGCCCUAGUCCAGCCCAGCACCAGGGCCACCCUUCGUCUUCCUCGGUCGAGAGACCCAGGAGGGUUGUUCUAAAAAAAAAAGAGACCCAGGAGGGCACGCACGCAUCUGCAAUUCCGCCGCCAUGAAUUAUCUCGCUCCCGACCGUUUCUCUCAAAACAGAAACAGCCAAAUGAAUCCCCAUCACCUCAUGAACCGAUUCAGGUUUUCAAUCGUCAGUUUCGUGCCUUUAAUCUCACACUAGAACGGACGCCCCGAAUGCCGGCUUUUGGUAUAUGUUUCCCGAUCUCCAUCCUCAGGCGACAAAUGAUGACUCCGAGAGCGUCACCUUGAGACUCUCCCUCUCUUCCCUCGUUACCAUAUUCAGAUUUUCGCCUCAAAACCAUUGUAGAACCCGUGUCUUCGUCGUCUUCCUCGUCGGACGCCGCUGCCAUUCUUGAAGGUGAGACUGUUUGGGAAGCAACCGUUCUUUUUCUUUCUCUCCCUUUCUCUUCCCCCUUGAGAACCGCUCGGCUCCUCUCUGCCUCGGCUCCUCUCCUCUUUCCCUUCGUCGGCCUCACCAGCUGGAGUGGGGAUGGGAGAGGAGGCCGGGCCGCUGGCGUUCGUCGUAGUUGUAGGAUUUGGUGUAGGGCUAGGUCUAGGGUUGCCUUAGGGGCGUUUGGCUUAGUGCCGUUAUCAAGAAGCUUUUCUCUACUGCUCCCGAGCGGCGACACGAGGAGGCCAGCCAUCUUUUCCAUUCGUUCUUCAUGGUGGAGGACGAAAAAAAGGUUCGGAUCUGGCGAUGGCUUCGUCAAUAAGCUCGGUGGUGCUUCGUUUUGCAGUGAUUUGGCUCGUCCUGGCCGUCAUGGUGGCGGUAGAAGGGCUGAUUUGCCUGGAUCCGAAGCUCCAUGGGAAGAAGGUGAAGCUGCGUCUGCGUUUCUUCCUCGGAGCUCAUCCCUAGCGGUGCCAACAUGGCUGUUGCCAUCUAGCCGCUGUAUCCAUUGGCUGUUCGAGCGGCUGCUCCACAAGCUGGUGCUGACUACUAUCUCGCGUCUCGGCUUUCUCUUCCUCCCGGCUGACAUGCCAAAAGGGAGGAUCUUUGGCUCCGGUAUGGCCUCUCACGCCUACCUCGUCCCAAGUGGUGUCGUCCCCGGUGACGAUGCGGAAGGACGGUGGAGAAGGACUUGAUUGUAAUCAAUAUCUUCCUCUUUGGGUCCUUUUCAUAAAAAGCGAGGACUAUGUUGUAUUUUCUGUUUAUCCUAGGGUCCUCUUUGUAAAAUGUAAUCCCACCGCUCUUUCUGGGUCCUUCGGGACCCUUCCCUUGUUCAAAAAAAAAAGGGUGAGACCGUUUGAUAGCUCUGCUCACCAUUUCUUCCCGUGAGGGAACUCACGUAGUCAUCUCCUAUCUUCUUGACAAGGUUUUGCAUCCAUCCGAUGCUGCUGGCCUCGUCAUCCCGAAGCCAUGCCGCUGCAGCACCGCAGCCGGCUGUUUUCGGCGAACAAGGACGCCGCUGGACGCGCUUCCGCGCCAGGAGCAUAGCCGCGGGGUCCACAAUCCAACGCUCCGACCUGCAACUGGGAUCAACGACCACGUGGGACAAAUUUCGUCCAUCUUCAUCAACUUCUGCGGCUGCCUUUGAUUCCGUUGUCACCUUAGGUGAGUUUCAGUUCAUGCAGUCACUGAAAUGUCCUGCUCUCCAAUUAUUCACGUUUGCUACGUGCUUGUUGAAGCCAUGACGAUCCCGACCAACAUGACCAUGCCAUCCCCAACCUAUUCUUUGUUCCUGUGAAUUCCGUUCAUGUCACUUCGUGCCAUGCCAUCUUGUUUCUACAAGUUCAGAACAUCAAACAAAAUCUCGAUCCGAUGACCGGAGCUCUGACAACAUCAAUUCCAUCCUGUCAAUGACCAACAUCGUCAUGCUCCUACAUGUUCACUCCAUAAUUUGAGCCCAACCCUUGCAUAGGAAAGUUCCCUUUUGACUUAGAGACCCUCUGGUUGAAUCAGAUUCCAAAUCCAAUGGGCAGAAAUUAAAAUACAUAUUAACCGAUGCAAAUUCGAGUCAAAUUCAUAUACAAUCUGAAUUGUGUUAAUGCUUUUGAGCAUACCUUGUUUUGUAUAGUUUAUAUACAUGCAUAGGAGUUGUAUGUCAAGUUUGUAGAAUUGUCUCACAUGCUUAGCCAUUUAUUAGAUUUGUAAACUAGCAUGUAUUUUUGUAUUAUUUAUUUAUUCAUGUCCAUGUACUUGCUUUGAGUUAUUGUUGUGAUACUUCUGUAUAUGACAUAUAUUGUGUGUGUGCUGCAUGUAUGGUUACAGCGCACACGGUGUAAGUGGGGUUAGAGGUAAGAAUUUAAGAGCGAUCAGCGUUCAAUUGUUGGACGGACAAUGUCGCCAGUAACAAUAGGUUACUGACGGGUUCCUCGCCGGCCAAAGGUGAGUUUAAGACCCUUCAGUAAUGCGGUGCUCCAAAGAGUAGAUAAUGGUUGGGAAGGUAUAUAAGUUUUCAAAAAAAUUGAAUUUUUCAUCACAACAUCAGAGCCAUUAUAUAAGAUGAUGAGAUGAUCGAACGGUGCGAUAGAAUAAACACGACUUUAUGCGUUCAUGCAAAAAGAAAAACCAGAAAUUUCAGUUCACGGAUGGACAUAUAUAUGUCUGAACUCUUGUUUAUGUUUUACCGGCUUACCGCAAGUACAUAUAGUUGUAUUUUUUUUAUCAUCUAAUACUAUUGUCACGAUAUUGCGGUAAAAAUUUCAUGAUUUUUUAGAACUUUUGAAACCCUUAACUGGCGCCGGGAUUAUCUUAAGUACCAUCCUUCUUGUAUACAUAUUGAUAGUACAUGAUAGAUACAAAUUCUCGCGGCAUAUAUGGGCAAAACCUGCAGUGCAGUUGGAGCCCUGCUUUUAUAAGGACGGAGAAAAGAAGGAAAACUAAUCCUGGUUUUUCUUCUGAGUCUUUGUGUCCUUGUGUUUGAUUGUACUACUACUACUGCUACAAACCACCAUUGGUGAUUGUGUGAUGGAAUCUUCAAGGCUCGGUGAUCAAGAAGUAAAGGUAAACGACAAUCAGGGAAGGAUCGUCUUGAGCUUGUAAUUCCUGGCGAAUGCGCUGUACACGGCGAAGUUAAGUAUGCACAUGACAGCCAUGCUCCAGAAGAAGUAGUCUAGGUGGCCCUGGUUAAGGUCAUCGGAUAUCCACCCGGGGCUGCCCGGUUUCACCGUGAUUGCCGCCAGGACAGCGUAUAUGAGCGAGCUCAUGUAGCUCCCAAGAGCAAUGGUGAGCAGCGCAAGAGACGUGCACAUACUCUUCAUGGAGUCCGGUGCCUCGCCGUAGAAGAACUCCAGCUGCGCGAUGUAGCAGAAGACUUCGGCGCCUGCAAGUAAGAAAUACUGUGGCAGCUGCCAGGCGAUGCCAAUCACCUCGCCUGUUGCCACACUGUCGAGCCGCUUCAUCUCCACGAGCGCUGCAACGGCCAUGGCGAGUGCCAUGAGGACGCGCCCGGCACCCAUCCGCUGCAACUGUGACGGCUCCCAGUGGCCGUCAGAGGAGAAGUUAUUGAGAGCCGGCACGAUGAAAUUGCUGUAUAGGAGCACCCAAGCCAGAACACAGAGCACCUCGAAGGAGCUCAGGGACGCUGCUGGUAUCGGCACCGACAAGAUAUUUAUGUCCAUGGCGCUGCCCUGCAGGAUGAAGGUGCUGUUCAUCUGCGAGUAGGCGGCGGAGAUGACGAUGCUGGUGGCCCAUAUUGGUAAGAGCCGAAGGAGGAUCUUGAGCUCCUCCACCUGCGUCACCGUGCAGAGCGUCCAAGACGAGCUAUGUGCGUCCAGCAGCCUGUCCUCCAACUCCGAGUCAGAAAUGAUGGCCGCUCUGUCGAGAAAGCUGAACUCCGUCGUGUGCGCGAUCCUGGCAUGGGGAUCCAUGGAGUCGCCGCUGACAUCGUAUAGAUGGUCGGCGUCAAAGGGCAGCGUGAGGCUGACCUUUCUGAAUGCGGCAACGACCACCUGGCACAGGCUCUUGAGCGGCGUCCCGGUGGGCAUGCUGCGCUUGUACAUGGGCGUGGCGUACACGAAGCCACCGUAGGCCAGCGCAAUGCACAACGUGGAGAUCCCGAAGCCGAGGCCCCAGCUGACGUUCUGCUGGAUCCAUACGAUGAACACGCCGGACACAAUUGGGCCGAAGUCGACGCAGAGGUAGAACAAGCUGAAGAAGGAUCUCUUGCCCUCCUGGUCCUCCACACCGCUCACGUCGUCGAACUGCUCAGCCCCGAACGGCAGCAGAGAGGACCGCACACCGCCGCUCCCGAUCGCUACGAGGUACAGCCCAAUGAAGGGCAAAGUAGCGUUGCCCGUAACGCACGACGAGCCGGGUGUGCACACCUCGGCUGGCGCCGGCAUGAAUGCCGUCAAGGUGACCACAAUCAUUCCCUGGGAGGGAGUAGACAGAGUUAGCUUAUCAAGUCCAUUAACAAAUGAUCGAGGACUGGAUCGAGUUGCAUGUAUACUCACAAGGAUGUAGACGGCGAGGGAGACGAGGAUGGUGUUGUAGUUGCCCCAGAACGUGUCGGCGAUGAUGGCUCCAAAGAUGGGUGUGAGAUAGCUCGUGCCAAACCACGUCGUGACGUUGGACGCGCUCGCCAGGUUGCUGCCAUGGAGGACGGUCUCCAGAUACACCACCAAAUUAGUCGAGAUGCCAUUGAACGCCGUGCUCUCCAGACAUUCAAACCCUGCAGCAUUGAUUAAAUUUCUCAGUUACCUUAGUCUUACUACUAUUUCUCAGUUACCUGAAAUCUUACUACAAUUUCUCAGUUACCUAAGAUUUAAAACAAUUUAAGCAACUUCACAAAUAGAUUAUCCUAAAAAAAUGCUGUCUUUAAUUAGCAUGUCAUAUAUUCUGGGCCGAGUACAAAUUAAAAUUUUGAAACAUUGCCCUUACCUAGCACUACUGCUGGUGCCUUGCUACCCAUUUUCUUCUUGUCCUCCAGCAGUUCCACUUCUGGGGUCUCAUCUAGAACCCUUGGCCCACGACUCGGUUUUCUUUUGAACGAACGGUACGAGAUCUGUUUCAAUUUCAAUGUAGGACGUUACAACAUUGCGCCAAGAGAAGCGACUAAACAUUAAAGUAAAGAUGGGUUUUAAUCUGUUGCUCAAAUCUGCCAGGCUGAGAUACCAAAGUUGCAGCAAGUAUUUUUUUUUUUGACGAAACGCGGCAGCGCUACUUUUCAUUAAUUAAGAACGAAGAGAACAAAGCCAAGCGGCCGAAAUAGCUACAAGAGUUAUAGAGAAAUACAGAGCAACCGAAAAAGGCUUACACGACGACCAUCGCCACAACGAGGAACACAUGCAACGCAAGAGGAGCACUCCUAAAGCCAUCGAAAGACCACACAACACCGAGACAUUGCAACGCACACAAACAGCUCCUCCGCCACUCAGCUGUCAUCACCACGGCCAAACAAAGCACCAGGCCAACGAGUGUAGUGGCAUGGUCGAAGGACCUCUCCGCCGAGACCAAGUCGAAGGGCGUUGCGAAGCCGAGACAACACCACACACGAACCUUGACCGCCGCUGGACAACCCCGAGGAUUGCGGACAGAAACUGGCCAUUCACGCCGUCGAAAGGCACCGAGCAGUCGAGGCAGCAACAGGAGUGCGCGGCUCAUCACAAAGUAUGAAGCAAAGGAUCGAUGACGGUCGAAAACGUAAACCGAGAAGGCCACUUGCUGCGUCCACUAGAAACCGCCCGACCCGCCGAGAAAUCCACGGAUCCAAGACAACAUCUUCAAGAAGAAUGCGACACAGACUGCCGCCGCUGCCCGGUCCAAAGGACCUACGAUUUUCACCGGAUUCGUGAAAGGGGCCACAACAAUGCCUCGAAGGAGGGCUACGGCGCACGUAGGCGUCGCCAUUGUCAAGGCUGGCGGCCGCCGGUCUGAGCUUUCACCCGGCCCCUAAAAUCCAUGGCAGAGAAGGUGCUACUAGAGACAGCAAGGAGGGCGGUGGCCUAAGCCACACGCACGGACAGCCAAGGACGGCCAACAGACCACCACCGGGGGGCGCCACCCCAGACCCCAAAGCCGGCGAGCAGGGAGCUCACCGCCACCCGAGACGCCGCCAAGCGCCGGAUCCGGGCGCGAUGACCCAGAUCCAGACAUCUGCUGCAGCCCCGACCACCUGCCGCCUCCAGCAGCAAGUAUGAGUUAGUGGUUGCUAGCACACAUGAAUUCAAUCUCAAGGAAAACCAGCGCGAGAUAUUUGCAUGGCACGAUUCCUAACAGUGGAUCUAUUUAUUGCUCAUGAUUUUCAACCUAUGAAUGUGCUAUUUAAAUCUAGAACUAUGCGGAUAUAUUUACGACCACUAAUGCUGAUCGAUUAAAACAAGCGCUUGAUAUGUAUUGUCAGUCUUCUGGACAGAUGGUGAGUGAUGUGAUGCUAAAUCAUCAAAAAAUUCAGCCCUUGCACCUUGGUGGAAACGAAAGAACUAGUCUGUACUUCCUUGAACAUUUUAACAGAAUCGACUACAGACAAGUAUUUAGGACUGCCUCCACUUAUUGGUGUCCAUCGUACGGAUUGUUUCCAGCAUUUAAGAGAUAGAGUCUGUAACGGGUUAAAUGGGUGGAAGAAGAAAUUAUCUUUAGGAGGAAAGGAGCCAAGGAGGUCUUGCUCAAAGCAGUGGCACAAGCUAUUCCAUCUUAUGCAGUGUCUGUUUCUAAAUUACCAAAACAAGUAUGCAAAGGGAUAACUACUGCACAAUGUCCCAGUACUGGUGGGGUGAUGAAGAACACUAGAAGCAUAUGCAUUGGUUUGCGUGAUGGAAGAUGUGUAUACCUAAACAGAAGGGAGGCAUGGGUUUUCGUGAUCUUCAUUGUUUUAACCUAGCUAUGUUGGCUAGGCAGUGUUGGAGACUCUUGCAGGCGCCGAAUUCUUUACGUGUUUCGGUCUUAAGAGCUAAGUAUUAUCCUUCUGGAGAUCUUCUCAGUUGUGAUUUAAAGAAGGAUAGCUCUUUUACUUGGCAAAGUCUUUGGGAUGGAAUACUAGUCUUUUAGCGUGGACAUAUUUGAAGAGUUGGUGAUGGAACUAGCAUUAAUAUUUGUGAUGAUCCUUGGACUCCCAACAGCCCAGAUCGUGGAAUAAUGACGAGAAGAGGGACAUUGUCUGCACUAAGAUUUCUGAACUUAUUGAUGUUGAAAACAGAUGCUGGGAUGAGCAGGUCUUGCGUGAUCUGUUCUGGGAUGUUGAUGUUAACCGGAUUUUGAAAAUUCCUAUUGCUAGAACACAGAUGGAUGAUCUGGUCUUGUGGCACUAAUGCAAUUCCAAGCAUACCCAGCUGCAAUUGCUAGUUAAAUAUCUUCUUUUACUAACUUCUCCUUGUAGUCCUAGUUUCACCAACUUUCUUUUGCAUUGAUCUCAUUGAGCUCUUUGAGGACCAUGUGGUAUGUUUUGUUAGUUUUGGACUGUUUUCAUUUUGGAUUGUUUUAAUUCCCUUUUUUCUGUGCAGACUGUCCCAUAAAUUAUGAUUCUUACAUGUACACAGUUGCAACCGAGCUCAAGUUCCGCAUUGAUUCUGAUGGACGUUUGGCAACAGUAGGCUCUACCAUGUGGAGAGAUUUCCUGGUCAAAGCUGGUCUCAACGAAAAGGAUCAUAUUUCUUUUCUCAUCUUCAAGGAAAUGUCACGCCUAGUAGUCUGUGCUUUGAAGAUAUGAGCAUGUAUAUUUUGCGUCGACUCACAUCGGUGGAAUCAUGUGCUUCUAUAACUAAAAGUCGGAAUUUUAUUUUGUGUUUUGUGUUGUUUGUUCGCGAAAUUAACACCAGUAACGCAACUAUGAAUGCCAUGAUAUUAUUUUGCUUUUGGGAUUCCUUAGUUCUGAUUACAUUGCUUUUUGGCAGGAAGGCGCUGUGUUUUGGAAUUAACUAUGAAUUCUAACCCUAUGUUCAUAUUUGUAUCUAUUCCUUUGUUCUGUUAAAACCAGGUAUAUAUCUUUUUGGUUUGCACGAUGCCUAGAAGGGUCCUCUGGCUGUUGUUUAAACAGACUGUCAAGGGGUGAGACACUCAAUCUUUUGGACGAUCUCUGAAGAGGUACCUAUGUUCUUUCCUUUCUGAUUUUUUGAAAAUGUUUUUCUACUUGGAUCUGCAUCCUUUUUGCUUGUUGUUUCUGAUUCUGUGUUUGUUCCAUGACUAGCCGGUUGUGAACUCUGUUCAUCCAGAUUGUGUCUCUACAAUUAUGCGAACUGUUCUAGUGUUUUUUACUCAAUUGCACGUACCUUAACUAGUGCAAUCCACCUAUACAAUUAUGCAAACUGUUCUAGUGUUUUUUACUCAAUUACACUCGUUUAAUCUAGGGUCUUUUUGUGAAACGCAUUUUCCACCUGUACAAUACAUGAUUUGCACCUAGGGGUUUGAGUUCUUGUUUCCAUUUUUUUUAGAAUCUGUGUGUUCAAUUAUGCUCACACUAUGUGCAAUUCAGCAUUUUUUUGUGAUGCAAUUGCACCUGCACCAUACCUCAAUUGCACCUAGGAUUUUUCUGCUCUUUGUUUCAUUUCUGAAUCUGUGUGUUCAAUUGCACCAGCCAGGCUUUGCUUCGAUUUCUGCAGCACUUCUAGGUUGCCUGUUUUCGUUUUACCAAAACGAGCAAAUAGUGAUGUAGACUUCAAUUCGUUUGAUCUAUCAUAUCAUGCAGGAGAUGGGGGGGGGGUAGUAUCUGAAUGAUGGUUAGAUGGAUCUUGUUUUCGGCAAGGGAAGCUAGAGGCCCACUUGAAUCAGCAAUAAACAGGUACACCACUUUUUGCAUGCAUGCUUUCUGCAACUCCUGUAAUUAUAUGGGUUCUGCCACUGCAAUUACCCUGGGUUUCCCUUUCAGUUGCACUUCUGAAAUUCCUUCCUAAAUUUUGGCUACCAUUCUUGGGAUCAUCGUCACGGCUGUACAUGUGAAUUGCAUUAGGAGUCAUCAUGCAAUUAUAGGGUUCUGCCACUGCAAUUACCAUGGGUUUCUCUUUCAUUUUUCCAAUAAUCAACUUACUGUACCAUUUUUUGAGCCUUUUUUAAGUGUGUAAUUGCAAUCCAUGUUACUGUAGUAGCCUAUUGCAAUAUUUUGUCCUUUCUGCAAUUCAAGUCCCUUGUAAUUGCAAUUUCCAUGUAUUGCAACCUAAAUUUUCAUGCAACUACCAUUAAUUUGGGUUUUGUUUAAACUAAGUAGAUGUAAGCUUAAAAUUUGGUAACUGAAUGAUGGGUAGAUGCUGUCUCAAAUUUUGGCAAGGGAAGCUAGAGGCCCCGUUGAAUAACCAAUGAACAGGUAAACUUCUUACCCAACUUCUUUUUUGUCCUGCUAUGUAUGGUCACAAACAUGGUCAAUUGCACUUUUUUUUUCUGCAAUCUGGCAUAUAACCAAAGUCAUUUGCAGCUUCCCGCUCCUUGAAUUGCAUCCCCAGAUUUUUGCCCUUUUAGUUUCUGAAUUUCGGUCCAUUUUGUCCUAGGUUCAAAUUGUAGGUCAAAGGCAUUUUUGAGUUCAAUACCUGGAAUUUUGCAAUGCUGAUCUGUUUACUCAAUUUGCAUGGAAUUCACCAUGCGCAAUUGGUUUGUCAUAAGCAACACGAUUGCAUUUGUCUCUGACUAAAAUUGCAGACCUGCAUUUUGGUAUCCUGUUUUGUUGUUGAUUAUUGGUUGUUGUACAGAGGAUGUAUGCUUUUCUGGGAUGGUUUUGGGUUUGAUUUUUGACACUGACUGCGAGCCAUAGUUUGAAUUUACCCAGAGAGCAAAAAUUUGGCUAGCAACAGGGGGAAUUUGACAUGGUUAUCUGGUAUCACUGAAAGUAUUCCUUUUGAGUAGAAACGCAUCAUCGAUAAUUAUGGAUUUUAUUUCGUGUUCCACCUUAAUUCAUUUGGAGUUCCACGUUCCUUUGCCCAAUGGUUAGCGGACCACACCCAGGCUGAACGUUCUGACAUCAUCGUCGAUAGUGGUGUCGUCCAUCUUAGCGUUGAGUCCUUUUCUGAAGUUAUUGGGCUAGAAAACUCUGGAUUGGAUGUAAAUGCUGAUUUUGAUGGUUCAUAAGAUCUGAUAAUCUUAUGAUGUAUCUAUUCCAUAUUUUCUAAAAUUGCAGAUUGCACUACGCCAUGCCCUUACUUGCAGCACCCUUUUAGGAUGUUAAAUACCGUACUGAAAUUGAUUCAUUCUGGUUAUUUAUUUCCGACCCUUUGUUGUGUGCCCAUAUAGUUCAAAUUUGCACUACUAUAUACUCCUAGUUGCAACGCUGUAACAUCUGCAUUUCAAAGCUUAACGAAGUGCAAUUGAUAAUUUUUUGCUAUCUGAUAAUCAUACAUUGUAUCUGUUUCAUCUUUCUAAAAUUUCAAUUUGCACAGUGCCAUGCCCUUAAUUGCAGUACCUUUUGUAUGCAUGGACAUCAUAUUGUAAUGGUUAUGGUUAUUGCUGUAAGUCAAUUAAUCUUAGAAAAACCUACUAGUCUAAAUGCACUGUCUAUCUAAGCUUUUGUACCUGUACUAUAUAAUUUUUAGCAAAGCCUGUUCAUAUGGAUAUGGAGAAUGCUAGAUGCAGUCAGCAUCUUAGCUAUGCUUGUGUGGUUAUUCCACCCUUUUAUUCCACUGUUAGAAGGAUGUUUUUUUGCUUCUCUGGAUGUGCCCUUUUUUUCAGAUUUGUGCUCCUGCUGGAAGGAUUUUGGAGAUUCAAUUUGUUUGCCAGCACAGAAGCAAAACAGAGAAACAGAGAACAGGUUUGCACAACAAAAUGCCCACACAAUUAUCCUUUUGUGUUUUUCUACUGAUGGUUCAUAUGUUUCUCCUCUGUUGUUUGAAUCUUUGGUUUUUUUGGCGUCAAAGUUAGCUGGUUGUUUUGGUUAGAGAAGACUUGAUUCUUUUUGUUUUGUGGCUCACAGAAGAUUCGACUGGUUUCAAUCAAAAAACCAGGCGACUACUAGAAUGCCAAAAACCAGGCGACUGGUUCCUGGGCAAAAAAUAGGCGUCUGCCCAAUAGACAGACCCGAUUAUUCUUUUGAGACAUGGAUCUCUAACUUCAGAUAGCUUUUUCUUGUUUUCCUUUUCUCAACCCUUUGUAGUUUGUACAUAUUUGAUUUUUAUUUAAUAUAUGGCAGUAGGUUUUUUAACCUACUGUCUUCCCAUGAAAAAACACAUGUUUUAAUUUUAAUUGAUAUGAGUAUCUGACUUUCUUCUGAAUUACUACUUUGGCGUCUUUUAUCUUGUACUACAGUACUAGUUUAUACUCGGUACCACGUCAGCAAGUGCCCUCUUCCAAGACCCGUAAGUAAAGAAAAUGAUUCUAAAAUUGAAUGAUUGAAAUUUUGAAAUGGUCUUUGCUAGCCAGUCUGGACGCAUACGACAUGUGGAUAUAUACCCUUUGAAGUCUGAACUUGUUAGAUUAUAUCCUACAUCUCAUGAUACUGAUAAAUUGACUACAAAGGCGUCUAAACUGUGGACGACUUGACGAUGAGAACGCCAGGCAAAACAAAGCAAGAUAUCGAAUGAGGGAUCAGUUAGCCACUUAGCGCUCACCUGCCGCAAGAGCGGCGCGCGCUCGCCUCUGCCCAUGGCGUCUCCAGCGUCCAUGCCAAUCGCCAGAUGGCCGCCUGAGUUGGCGAUGAUCCUCGCAAGCAAGUGGUUUGAAGAGGAAUUCCUGAGAGCUUAGCCUUAAUCCAUCUCUGAUUGCUGGCUAGCUGCCCCUGCAUGCUUCUUUAUUUGCUCUGCUCGCCGCCGGGAGAAGAGCGAUGCUGAUAUAUAUAGCGCGCACCAGUCGACAGCUUGGCAUCGCUGCGCAGUUGGUGGAUCAACGGGGAUAUAUGAAGUGUCGGCGUCGUCGUAGCGCAAAAUAAUACUAGUGGGAUUAGCAGCAUUGUCGCGAGAACGCUUCAAAACAGAGUGGUUGAAAGUUUAACAAUCGAUAUAGGUUAGUUGACAAUUAAAUUAUAUUAAGACUUCCACCCACCGAAUACAAUACUUCGACGCACAUGCAUUCAUAUUCGUAUUUGUAUAUAUACGCAGUGGCUAAUCUAUCCGGCAGCCUCGGUGUCAAAAGAUAAAAUAUCAUCUUGGGAUCAUAUAGUUCCUCCUUCCAACAAAGAAUGUCUCAACUUUGAAUAAAUUUAAAUGCAUCUAUAUAUUAUGUCAUGUCUAGAUACAUCCAAACUUUACCAAAUUUGAGACAUUUUUUGUUCGCCGGAGGGAGUAAUACAAUUGCGUUUACAAAUAGCAGUAUCCGGUGAAUUGAGAGGCAACUCGACGGCUAUGGUCAGCACUACAAUAUACUAGACGGAUUUGUGUUGUUGGCCUGUUUCUGUUGUGAGUUUUUUUACCGUAAAUUUUGGAUUUGCCCUAAAGCGAUGGUAUCUACCCUGUAGAACCGAUGAACAGGCAUAAAAGCAUGAGAACAAUUCAAACAUUAACAAAAAUGAGAAGUCGCAUUUAGAUCCUUACCAAGUAAGUCGGCAACGUUUGGACCGGGUGUUCACCUCGGUGAACUGGGAUACCAUGUUCCCUAAUGCCUUCUUAGCUGCUUUUAGUACUACUACUUCGGACCAUGCACUGUUAAUUCUGGAUCUGCAGGCUGAUUUUCGGAUAGGCAGACGGUUUCAUUUCGAGGCGUUUUGGCCUAAAGUGGAGGGAUUCUUUCAGGUGGUCGAGGAGGCGUAGUUUGCCGAUGACCACGUUAUCGUCAAGCCCUUUCAACGGGUGGCUUCGCGGCUGCGCAGUACCGCGAAACGUUUGAGGAGUUGGAGUGGUCGUCUCAUUGGAAACACUAAGCUUCAAAUUUUGGUGGCCACGGAGGUGAUUUUACGUUUCGAUGUGGCGAUGGAGUCCCGUACUCUAUCCGUGGAGGAGCGAGGUCUCCGAGCACUUCUUAAGAAGAAACUCCUGGGCCUUUGCUUGUUGGAAAGGACUAUCGCCCGGCAGCGGUCGCGGCUCACUUGGCUUAAGGAGGGAGAUGCCAAUACCUGUUUUUUCCAACUCAAUGCUAGUCAGCGUAGAAGAAAGAACUUUGUGGCAGCCGUGGAGCAGGACGGCGUUCGGUUUUCUGAUCAUGAUUCCAUGUCCAAGAUCGCCAAUGACUUCUACCAUACGCUUUUGGGCUCGGGUGUGGAUCGUGAAUUUGGUCUAAACCUUGAUUUCUUGCAAGUGGGCUCCUUUCAGUUGUUGGGACUGGAUGAGGCCUUUUCGGAGGAGGAAAUUUGGCAGUUGGUCAAGGAGCUCCCACCCGAUAAAAGUCCUGGGCCGGAUGGGUUCACGGGCCGAUUCUUUUUCUUAAGAGAGAGGGACACUCCCUGAUUUUUGUAAAAAGAAAUCAUAGAAUUUACUAAGUUUCGGAGGCCUCCAAACAAACCAUCACACAUUAAGGCGCUGUCAAAAGAAAAGAAAAAUAGAGGAUUCUGUCCAGCUAGCAUAAAGAAUAGAAAAAAACACCCCGAUAUCCAAUUCUUUUCACAGUUGCUUAAUGCUCCAUUUUCGUAUAAUGCUAUACCUACUAAAUAUAACAUGAAGAAACGUAAUUGGGAAGGAGAUACCACCUGCAGAUUCUGUGCCGAGGAAGAAUCGAUUCGCUAUAUUUUUUCCAAUGUGCAGUUGCGUGAUAUACCUAGAGCAUAGUGGGUUUGGCGUUAGGAGUGAAAAAUAGACCUUGUUUCUCGCAUUACUUCUGGUGGUUGGCGUCCUGCACAACGAUUGGGAGAAAUCUCCAGGUGGCUGGGUUAGCGGCAUCUGUUGAGCGAUUUGGAAAUUGCAAAAUAGGGCAUGUUUUGAGAAGAAAUUGAUUCAAUCCCCAGCUGAAACCAUUCGUCUUGCAUGUGCUUUUAUGAAAUAUUGGGCAAGCUUCUGGAGAUGAUGAGCGGCUUCGAGCAGGAGCUGCAGUUUUGCAGAAGGAAGUGCUGAAGCACCACCCAGAUCAAGCGAAGAUGGAUAUGCCAAGGAUCCAGGGGCCGUGCGUGACGAAGGAGAAGAUGAUGCACAAUCGGGCAUCUGGUCGCGGGAUCGGCUACAAAAAGAUGUCACUGUGUGGGGGUGAUAUAGCUCCCUUUUUCCACAAUUCAAGGAGAAUCAACCCAAAGCAAUCACCGUCGUAGACCGUGUCGAAUGUUAUAGCUCCCCACUUCUUACCAUGUCGAAAAUUCUACAAUCUUGACACAGCUCCUAUGCAUGUACAUGAACUAUACAAAACAAGAGGUGCACAAAGAGCAUUACAAAAAUUCAAAUCCUAUAUGAAUCUGACCCGAAUUACAUCGGUUUAAAUGUUGUUUAAGUCGCAUGGAAGAUGGAGAUCAUGGGCUAUAGGUCGACUGUAGAGGGAAAAACAUUUAUGGUGUUUUCACUCUGGUGAUUGGAUCGAUAAGCUGACUUCUGUUCUGGAAUCAUGGAGAGGACUGGCACAAAGUGACGGGAACGAAGAACACUAGAACAAACUCUAGGUUGGGGAUGUCAUGUUCAUGUCGGUAAGGAUCGGCAUUGUUUGACAAACGUGCAGCCAACACAAACAAUUGGAUGAAGAUGCCAUGACAAUGAGGUAAGCUCGGUAAAGAUGAGUUUAGAGGUGCAAGGAAUUUGACGAAAACUCACCAACCGUGACGGAAUCAGGCGGUGAAGGCGGCGGAUGAAGUUGACGAAGAUGACGUCCCGGGUGGUCGUCUGUUCGGUGUGCGGGCCGAGGUGGUGGCUUCGGGAUGUCGUAGAAAUGCUCCUGACUCGAGGUUUCAUCCUUCGUGGCUCUUGUUCGCCGGAUUCAGCCGACGGCAGCAAGGAAUUUGUCAGCGACCUGGACAUGGACCACAAGAGCAAUGCUACACCUGGGCCAUCUCCACGGCCCACUCGAGCCCAUCGUUUACCUGCACGGCCUGCAGGCCGAGAGUGGCUUCGCUGAAGCCUCUAAUACUCUAGUACUUAACCAUUGUCGAACCUGGUUGCCGGCUUAGGAAAGGAAUGGCUAGGCUAGGCUUAUUUGGAACAUGAACUCGUUGUGUGGGUGGUUGGGAGGAUAAUCACAGCUACCAAAUAUUCCAAUUCGUGAUCCAAUUCGUGUUCAUCUUGUGAGAUUUAGUUCAGGUGCUCACAAUCUGGUAUCAGAGCCGUACCAUCCUGGAUUUUCCCCACCACCGUUUCCACACCCGAUUCAAGGAUCGUCAGUGCGCGGCCGCCAUGGAUAGCCUCGAUCCGGAGGCGCGGCUUAUCUACGAUCUCCUCAAGGAAGGCCUCACGGCGGAUCAAGAGAAACGCGCUCGUGAGCAGCAAGACUCGACCGUGAUCGCCGUCCGCAAGAUGUUCGAUGAAAAUACUGCAAGGAUGGACGCCAUCGUCGCCAAAAUCGACGGCGUCCGCGAUGAAUUCAGCACCGAGCUUGCUCAGAUUCGUCUGGAUCUGGACAAGGGAGGAAGAGGUGACCACGACACGGGCGCUACGGGCAGCGUCAAGGGACACGGCUUCUACAAGCCUCCUCCACUCCGAGGUGAGCGCCCCAGUGCCAGUACUCUACACUCUUCUUCGUCCCAACCUACUUCGCCUCACCAUGAACACCUUGACGUUGUUACCUUGGACCUUGCGUGGAAUUGCCGCGUUUCGAUGGCACUAACCCGCAUCUCUAGCAAACCCGGUGUGAGGAUUACUUCCAACUGUGGGGCACCCCGAUGGCACUCUGGAUUCCUUAUGCUUCUGCUCAGUUCGUGGAUGCCGCCGCCCGUUGGUUAGAAUCGUUCCAGCGUCGGUUUCCUAGAGCUACAUGGCCAGAAUUUUGUCAGGUGUUACAUGCCCGAUUCAGUCGUAAUCAGCAUCAGAACUUGAUUAGGCAGCUAUUCCAUAUUUCUCAGACAUCUACGGUGCUUGAUUAUGUUGAUCGAUUCUCUGAGUUAUAUGACCAGUUGCCUGCUUAUGAGAACAUUCCAGAUCCACUGCACUAUCUGACUCGGUUUUUAGAUGGUUUGCACCUACCUGUGCGUAUGGCUGUUUCUCUUCAGAAACCUCAUGAUUUAGACGCUCCUUAUGAACUUGCUAUAUUGCAUGAAGAAUUGGCUGGUACUUCUUCUUCACCACCUACCCUAGACAGUACUCCAUCCCAUCGACGGCCUUUGCCUCUUCCGUUACCGCCGCCGCCGCCGCCGCCGCCAGCAUAGCGCACCAAACUCCAUGAUGAACGUCGCACAAUUGACGAUAAGUGGAUUGCUCUGAGGAAUUAUCAAAAGGCGAAGGGUUUGUGCUUCAUUUGUGGAGAGCGAUGGUCUAAGGAUCAUCAAUGCAAACCAAAUGUUCAGUUACAUUUUGUUCAAGAACUAAUUGACCACUUGCAGUUGGGACUGGAUCAGUCUUCUGAAUACCCGGCAUCUUCUGAUCAGGAGCAAGUGUACUCUCUUUCAUCUGCUGCUGUAGGGCAUGCUACUUCUGCAACUACCAUGCAGCUCACCCUUCAGAUCCAAGGCAGGAUGUUGGUAUUCUUAGUGGAUUCUGGCAGUACACAUACAUUCUUAGAUGCCACUCAUAUUCUGGGCCUACAAAGUGUUCAGAAACUCAAGCCUAUUACUGUCAAGGUCGCCGGUGGUGGUACACUCAAUUGUCAGUACAUCUUGCCUCAUUGUCAGUGGCCCUGCAAUGAUCAUCAGUUUAUCAGUGAUAUCAGAAUCUUACCCUUGGGAGCUUAUGAUGGUAUAUUGGGUCUUGAUUGGUUGACCAAGCAUAGCCCAAUGCAAGUAGAUUGGUCUCAGCGUUGGAUGUCCUUUUAUAGGCAGCAAGAAUUAGUCACAUUGCAUGGUAGUCUCCCUGAUGACUGUCCUAUUACUUUGGUUACUAUAGCAUCUCUACUUCCUGUGAAUCAACCAGAAGUUCCUCCUGCUAUGCAAAGUAUUUUAGAUCAGUAUCCUUCAGUUUUUUCUGCUCCUGUUGGUUUACCACCCAGAAGAAGCUAUGACCAUUGCAUUCCACUAAUUCCUGGCGCCAGACCAGUGACUAUCAGGCCUUACAGAGUAGCCCCACAUCUCAAAACUGAGAUUGAAACUCAAGUAUCUGAAUUGCUUCAGCAUGGCAUGAUCAGGCAUAGCAAUAGUGCUUUCUCUUCUCCAGUUAUUUUAGUUAAGAAGAAAGAUAAAACCUGGAGAAUGGUCGUGGACUAUAGGCAUUUGAAUGCUAUUACCAUUAAAGGGAAGUAUCCUUUACCUGUCAUAGAUGAGUUGUUAGAUGAAUUGUCAGGAGCCUGUUGGUUUUCUAAACUAGACCUUAAAGCUGGGUAUCACCAGAUUAGAUUGGCCCCGGGAGAGGAGUACAAAACAGCAUUUCAAGCUCAUAAUGGGCAUUUUGAGUUCACAGUCAUGGCAUUUGGUCUUACAGGAGCUCCUGGUACAUUUCAAGGAGCUAUGAACACUUCAUUGGCACCAGUUCUGAGGAAAUUUGCUUUAGUGUUCUUUGAUGAUAUCCUCAUCUACAGCAAAACCUUUGAGGAUCACUUAGUUCAUGUUGCUCAAGUUCUUGACAUCCUGGCUAAACAUCAGUGGAAGGUCAAGUUAUCCAAAUGUGCCUUUGCUCAGCAGCGCAUUGCUUAUUUAGGCCAUGUUAUUAGUGGUGACGGGGUAGCAACUUAUGAUAGUAAAAUUAGUACAAUCCGAGACUGGCCUGUUCCCGUUAAUGUUAAGGAGGUCAGGGGAUUUUUGGGCAUCACAAGGUAUUAUAGAAAAUUCAUUCGCCAUUAUGGCUUGAUUAGUAAGCCCUUGACUAAUUUACUCAAGAAAGGGCACGUGUUUGCUUGGACUGGGGAUACUAAAACAGCAUUUCUCACAUUGAAGCAAGCCCUUAUCACAGCUCCUGUCUUAGCUCUCCCUGAUUUUUCUAAGCAAUUUGUCAUUGAGACUGAUGCUUGUGAUGUGGGUAUUGGUGCAGUCUUAAUGCAAGAGGGGCAUCCUUUGGCCUUUGUGAGUAAAGGCUUGGGCCCAGGUAUCAAUCCUUGUCAGUUUAUGAAAAGGAGUAUUUGGCCAUCUUACUUGCUGUUGAGCAUUGGAGAUCUUAUUUGCAUGUAGGUGAAUUUUUGAUUCGCACUGAUCAAAAGAGUUUAGCUCAUCUGGAAGAUCAAAGAUUGCAUACUGAGUGGCAAUAGAAAGCUUUGACAAAAUUGAUGGGCCUCUCUUAUAAGAUACAGUACAAAAAGGGUAGUGCCAAUGCUGCUGCUGAUGCUUUGUCCAGGAAACCAAAUGAGGUUCAUCAUGUGUUGGUUGUUUCUUCUUUACAGCCUAGUUGGCUCUCUAAGGUAGUUUCUAGUUAUACAUCUGAUCCUAAAGCUCAACAACUUCUGCAGCAAUUGUCAAUUUCUCCUGAUUCUCAUCCUGCUUUUAAAUUGAAGAAUGGCUUGUUGCUUUAUAAGAACAGACUGUGGUUAGGACAUGAUAUUGGUCUGCAUUCUAAGGUUUUUCAGGCAUUUCAUAGUAGCCCAGUUGGCGGCCACUCUGGUUUUCCUGUAACCUAUAGAAGAAUUAAAUCCUUGUUUUCUUGGAUUGGCAUGAAGGCUUUUGUUAAGGAUCAAGUUCAAGGCUGUCAGAUCUGUCAACAAGCUAAACCUGAAAGAAUUCCUUAUCCGGUUUGCUUUCUCCUAUGCCAAUUCCUACUUCAGCUUGGGAAAUGAUUUCCAUGGAUUUUAUAAAUGGUUUGCCUGCAUCAGGCCAUUAUAACAGUAUCUUAGUUGUUAUUGACAAGUAUACUAAAUAUGGGCACUUCAUUCCCAUGCAUCACCCCUUUACUGCACAGAAAGUAGCUGAAGCUUUUGUGGAUAAUGUCUAUAAAUUGCAUGGUUUGCCCCAACACUUUAUUUCUGACAGAGAUCCUAUUUUCACUAGUCACUUUUGACAGUCUUUAGCUAAAUUGACAGGUUCUGCCUUGAGAAUGAGCUCUGCCUAUCACCCUGAAACGGAUGGUCAAACUGAGCGUGUGAAUCAACAAGUUGAGUGUUUCUCGCGUUGUUUCAUUAGUGCUCAUCCUACUAAGUGGUCCAAAUGGCUCUCGUCGUGUGAAUUCUGGUAUAACACUAACUGGCAUUCAUCUCUGAACAAGACUCCUUUUGAGGUAUUAUAUGGCCAGCAUCCUACUUAUUUUGGCCUCUCAGCUAAUUCUGCGGUUGCUCGAGUGGAUGUUCAACAGUGGCUUGACCAGCGCAAGGUGAUUCUAGCUUCUGUCCGCCAGCAUUUGCUUCGUGCCAGUCAGCGCAUGAAGCUUCAGGCCGACAAAAAAUGUACUGAACGCAGCUUUCAAGUGGGUGAUAUGGUCUUCUUAAAGUUGCAACCUUAUGUGCAAACUUCAGUGGUUCAUCGCUCCAAUCAUAAACUGGCAUUUCGUUUUUAUGGGCCUUAUCAAGUUUUGGAGAAGAUUGGUACUGUCACUUAUCGCUUGGCGUUACCUGCUACCAGCAGGAUACAUCCUAUUUUCCAUGUCUCCCAAUUGAAGCAAUGCUUAUCUCCAAAGCAUCAGGUACAAUCUGCCUUGCCUACUGAUUCGGCUUCCUUGCAAAUUCCAGUUUGUGUAUUGCAGCGUCGUUUGUCCCAACGUGGUUCUCAUUUAGUACUCCAAGGCCUGAUUCGUUGGAGUGGUGUACCGGAGUCUGAAGCCACUUGGGAGGAUCUGGACUCACUUCGUCAAGAGUUUCCAGCGCCGGGGCAAGCCGCUUCUGAAGAAGGAGGGGGUGUCAGCGACCUGGACAUGGACCACAAGAGCAAUGCUACACCUGGGCCGUCUCCACGGCCCACUCGAGCCCAUCGUUUACCUGCACGUGCAGGCCGAGGGUGGUUUCGCUGAGGCCUGUAAUACUCUAAUACUUGACCAUUGUCGAACCUGGUUGCCGGCUUAGGAAAGGAAAGGAAUGGCUAGGCUAGGCUUAUCUGGAACAUGAACUCGCUGUGUGGGUGGUUGAGAGGAUAAUCACAGCUACCAAAUAUUCCAAUUCGUGAUCCAAUUCGUGUUCACCUUGUGAGAUUUAGUUCAGGUGCUCACAGAAUUUGAUGUGGAUAAUAUGAGUUUACAUGCGCAAGGAAUUUGAGAAGGGAGCUAACUCACGACCUCACCUUCCAAAAUGGCGGCGGCGGUAGGCUGAGGAGACGGCAAUGGACUGUACAGGAGGUUUUCUGUCGAAUUAGAAAAUGGGGUUCGGGAGAGAAGAGCCAAAGGCUCCAUCCGACAUGCUCGGGAUCUGGUUCCGCAGACUGGAGAGGGGGAUCGGGAGGUGGAGGCCAACGGCCGACAUUCGGAGCGUCCGUCCCUUUGAGAGAUUAAGAGACGAAACCGACAAUUGAAAGAAAGGCUGAAUCGGAUCAUGGGGUGACGAGGAUUAACUUGGCAAGUUCGGUUUUGAGAGAAACGGUCAAGAACAAUGAUUCGAGGCGGCGGCGGCGUGCGUUCGUGCUAGAGCAUAGGAGGAAGUCGAUGCGAAAGAUGGACGGACGAGCGCACGGGUGGGCUAGGCAGCUUGGUCGAGACUCCGGAGAGUAGUUGGGUGGUGCGGCCCAGGAAGAGAAAGAAAAAAGAACUGAAGAGAGAAUUGCAGAAGAUGGGCUGGUUGGGGCUGGCAGCAGGGCAGUUGGCUAGAUGGGCUAAGGCAUGCUGGAGGCUGGGCUGGGAAAGAGAGAGAUUGUGCCAGGCCCAGUCCGGAGGCAGACAAGGGACUUGGAAGAAACAAUCUUCGUCGUCGGAGUAAUUGAUAGACGUGUCUCAAUUAAAUUUUUUCUAUGUCAUUUCAUUUUACCAUUUGGAUUAGAGAAAAUAGGUACAGAGCUUUACUUGCCCACUACUUCCACCCCAUUGACCAAGGACAAGACAACCUCACAACAACCGACUUUGGCGUUGGCAAUUCCCACACAUUUGCCCAACCACAUAUCCCAUGGGGCUCCGCACCGUCUGGUUGCUGGUUGCUGUAUCCAAACACCAACCAACCACCUCUCAGACUCUCUUAACCAAAGAAACAAGCGAACCCCCCAAAGCCAAAGACGCAUCAAGCACGCACCACAUUCCCCAUCGACCCAAAAGGAAAUCAGGCAGGCGCUAGCGCAACCGAGAAGACGAUGAAGAGGGAAGGAUUCCAGCACGGCGCGGUCAGGGUGAACCGCAGCAAGCUGCUGCGGAUCGCCGAUGGGGAGGCUGCUAAGGCCGCGGCCGCGGCGGAGAUCGGCGUGUACGCCAGGGCGCCGUCGAAGCCGACCAACGCGUCCAGGAGCACGGGCAAGUGCCGGCGGCCGCGGUGCGUCGGGUGCCACGAGCACCCGGUGACCAAGGCCCGGGACAAGGCCAAGGGCGCGCACAAGCUGCGGGCCUGCGACGUAGCGCUCAACCACCGCCUCGUGUCCUGGCGCGUCGUCGACGGCGCCGGGGCAUCCGCGGCCGGCACCGGCAUCCCGGACUACAAGGGUGCCUCGGCGUCGGCCGUGCUCGCUUACAUGGCCGGCGGCAACAGCUGGCACGAGGAGGAGGAGGACGACGGCGCCGAUCUUGAAGGCAACCCGCCGGCGGAAGGAGGGCUCUCCGAUCUGUACGACCUCAUCGUCGGCAGGAUCCCUGCGCCGGACGGCCUAGAAUCUGACAUGGCGCAUGCCAAUAACAUAGAAGUAGCAGACAGUGAUGAUGCAAUUGAGGAGCAGGAGCAAGAUGAUACCACCAAUGAUGAUGAUGAUGAUGAUGAGGAGGAGGAGGAGGAGGGGGAGAUGGAUUUCUGCAUGGUGGGCAUCACAAUCGCUUUGGACUUCUCCGAUGGGGAGGAAGACUGGAUCGUGGUGGAGGAGAUCCCAUCGACCUGAUCCGAUCUGAUUAAUUUGCAAAUAAGACAGGUCAGAUGCAUCCCUCCUGCGUUGUAUAAUUUCCAUCUGCGGGUGGUGUGUAUAUACUGUUCAUCUGUUCAUCCUCCUGUUAAUUGUGUCAUUUGUGUAUAUGGUGACUAGCUAAUUUGUCGUGAACAUGGAUUAUUCAUGAUUCAAACCUCAAUUUACCAGUGUGAAUAAAAUGGAGAAGGGAUUCUUUUCCAGAUCUUGUUUCUUUCUCUUUGAUUGGAUCUUCAUGUACCUAUAUGGAUCUAUCUUUCCAAUACGCUCUUGAAUCUGAUUUAUAGUACAGUAGGAAGUAUACUAGCUCGACGUUUUUGGAUUUCCACAGGGACGUGAACUCCAUAGUAUCUGUUUCUAUAACAGCUUGAGAAAUCCUCCAGUUUUUUAUCAAUCCCUUCUGAAGUAGCCUGACCCGUCCUGAAACUUGGUCCGGGAAAUCAGGUAGAUUCAGUUAUUGUUGUACUGUUUUAUUGUGAAGGGCAAGAGGUGCAGGAGAAAAAAGGAGGGAUGUUUCCCCCAAUUAUUUCCUUGUUCUUGUGCGAAGUCGUGACAAUUUUUUUUAGUUCUGCUCCCUUCUGAAAGUGUUUCUGUCUGGUACGGUAUGAAGUCUCAUCGGCACAGAUCGUACCUUCUGAUACUCCUGCUUCCUGUGUUCCAAAAACAUCUGCAUACUGUGUACCGUACCUUUCCUCGUUCCGAAGCAUUGAUCCACUAAGUUUAUCACUUCUGCAACCUCUCAGUUUCUUGAAGUCGUAAUAAAUGAAAAAGAAAGAAACAAUAAAUGGGCUUCAUCUUCAUGUUAUAGUAUCAGUUUCUGCAUGUUUAGCAAUAUGGCUUGGAGUACCAUAUUUUCAGCCGAUACAUAGUCAUUGUCAUCAUAUCAUUUGAUGGCUGUCCUUCAACGGUUCAAAUGAAACGCUCCCUUUUAAGUAAUACGAUUGACGAAGGUGUACGUAACAUCUUAUAUUGGUAUUGAUUGAGACCUUCAUCCGUGCGGAUUAACAAAAGAAAAGGUUGCGCUGUCACGUGUACCAGCAACUACUCCCUCCUUCCCAUAUUAAGUGACUUAGAUUUGCUCAAAUAUGGAUGUAUUUAUGUCUAAAAAGCAUCUAGAUAAAAGUCAAUUAAUAUGGGACGGAGAGAUGUAUCUAUGCCUAACAAGUUUCUGCUACAGUUGACUUAUUAAAGGAGCAUUUGAUUUGAUCAAAUUUUUGACCAAGAUUACUUCAUUAACACGUGAUUUAUGUGACCCAAUGAUAACCAUAAUUAAGCAUUGUAUAUGAAUAUGAUGAUAUCAAUUUAAAUCACGUAAAUUGUUUGUCAAUAAUUAUUGGAGAAACACUCAGUCAAAACAAAUAAAAUAAGUCUUCUAGAGUGCGAGGGAGGCAGUACAAAGAAAAUAGAUUUGAAUAAAUAGUUACACGUCGUACCUAAAAGAAUUAGACUGUUGCCCCAAAAAAAUUAGACUAAAUAGUUACUAGUUGUAUCGAGCUUAGUUAAUGCUCCCUCGUCCGGAAAUACAUGAGAAUCUAGACAAAAUAAGUGAUUCAAAUUUAUCAAUCUAGACAAAUCCGAGUCACUUAUUUUCGGACGGAACAAGUACAAUAUGCUGAUUGGUUUGCUACUGCUAGUUAAAUGUGGACGUUGCUAUUGAACUAUAAAUAUGUAUUGAGUGUCUUUAAAUACGUCCGCCCUUGAAAAUCAUAUUUUUAUGAUACAUACUUUCUCCGUUUCAUAAAGAUUGGCGUGGCCUUGAGCUAGCUCUAGUUUAAAACCACGCAAUAUUUAUAUAACAUAGGAAGUAACAUUUUUUUCUCAAAAUAUAGUAUAUCUGAUGAACUAUAAUCAGAAAUUAUUAUACAUAUCCAUCCUAAACAGUGGAUAAUUUUUACUAUUUCUUAAUUUGCAGUUGUGUCCUGGUAUGUUAUACGCUCGUACUUUGUCCCACCCCCGUGAAAAAAAAGCAUCGUCGAAAAAACCGGUUCCCACCUGCCUCCUCCCACCUUCACGCAUGUGCAGAAUCCCGCGAUUAGCUCCACCUUCCUUUCCAUCAGCAUCGAUCCCAUCUGGACGACGCCUCCAUCCCCUUCCUCACGAUCCGCAUCGUCCUCCCUCCCUCCACCGCUCCCUUCCAGCGCCGCAGACUUCCCUGCAACGCCCCCUCCUCCUCAUCCGUGCUGCUGCCCCAUUCGUCCCUCCGCCUUCCUCGCGAGGACGCGCCGGCGUUGCCGCCUCCCUCCCUCCCUUCGCCUUCCUCGCGAUGACGCGCCGCCGCCGCCUGCCUCUUCCUCCCUGCCUCCUCCUGAUCCGCAGCGCUGCCUCCCUCCCGCUUCCUCGCAGGCCCAGCCGGCUCGAAUCAAAACCGAACCGAUCUGGGUCCUCCCCGCAUUCGCAUCCGCCUGCCUGCAUCGCCGCCGCUGACGACGCCUGCUGUUAUCCCGCAACGCCUCCCUUGCAGCCGCUGCCACCUGCAGCAGCAUAGAAGGAAAAAUCACACGAAACAGACCCUCGCCCCGAUCUGUCUGCCCUCACCCUCGAUCCCUCGAAUCAAUCCCCUCCCUCGGCACGGCCGUCCUCCCCUCCCCUGACGCGACCGAAGGCCCUCAGCAGCAGCAGGACGAUGAAGCCCCUCCCCCC